ACUCAAAUGAAUUGACGGGGACCCGCACAAGCGGUGGAGCAUGUGGUUUAAUUCGAUACGACGCGCAGAACCUUACCAAGGUUUGACAUGGAGGGCAAUGUUGAAGAAACUCAACGGAGGUUAUCCCAACACAGGUGGUGCAUGGUCAUCGUCAGUUCGUGCUGUGAAGCGUACGCUUAAGUGCUAGAACGAACGCAACCCUCAUAUUUAGUUGCUAUCAUUUAGUUGAGAACUCUAAAUAGACUGCUAAGACAACUUAGAGGAAGGAGAGGAUGACGUUUGAUCAUCAUGCCCCUUACACCUUGGGCUACACACGUGCUACAAUGGUUAGGACAAAGGGUCGCUAACUCGCGAGAGGGAGCUAAUCCCAAAAAACUAACCUAAGUUCGGAUUGGAGUCUGCAACUCGACUCCAUGAAGUCGGAAUCGCUAGUAAUCGUGAAUCAGCAAUGUCACGGUGAAUACGUUCUCGGGUCUUGUACACACCGCCCGU
This 492-nucleotide ribosomal RNA is filed under the name uncultured bacterium. Its description in RNAcentral is "partial 16S ribosomal RNA". It matches the Rfam family "Bacterial small subunit ribosomal RNA", at positions 899 to 1397 of the family's 1533-position model. The record is from RNAcentral.